Long non-coding RNA from Dreissena polymorpha, 1426 nucleotides. RefSeq lists it as uncharacterized. Lineage: Eukaryota; Metazoa; Mollusca; Bivalvia; Myida; Dreissenidae. The record is from RefSeq and is a predicted model, not a curated record. The transcript has 5 exons.
UUAAAAUUUAUUGUACACACUCAUAUAUGAGUAAACCUCAUGAAAAUAGUCAACUUUCCUGAUUCUACCAUAGUAUGGUGUUUCUUAAGGUAGCACUAUACAGUUUUGAGCCUUAGUGUCGAAUUGGCAGGGGAGAAAUUUCUAAUAAAUAGGGAUACAAUAAAACUGAGCAGCAAUAAUAGUGUUUUACAAGUUUAAAGUAUCAGAUUUGAGUGGUGGUGGUUUGAAAUGCAUGCUUAGUGAAUUCGAAAAUGUGUCCAGUGCCUAGCCAGUGUGUCUGCUGAGCAGUCAAGGUCAUGAGAUACGUACAUGCUGGUUUCUAGCUCCGAAGGCUAAUUUUGCAUGAAUUUUAAAGGUGCCUCCACUCAACUGAAUUUCUGCAAAAAACCGCGUGGAUGACCCUAGGAUUCUUCGGUGUCGGUCAAAUAUCUGGUUAGUGAUGCAGUAAAGCAGAAAGUGUUUAAUGAACUGGCAUUUGCAGUUUAGUGGUAAAUUUGUGUUGAAAAUCACAGAAAUGGCCUCGAAAACAGGUGACAUUCAGACCCCUAAAUUGGCUGAAUUUCCAUGAUAAAAAUAUACAGCAAGUGGGUGCACCAUGGCUAUCCAUGUAUUUUCUGGAAGACAUACCCCCAACAAUACUGAAGAUAUGUUUUGUAUGAUUUCAGGUGUAGACGUUGUGUUAGCUGUGAGGACGGACAGUGCCCCCACCCCGGCAGCCAGUAGCCGAUUUGUGAAAAACUGUAGUGUGCCCCCUUAAGGUGUAGACGUUGUGUUAGCUGUGAGGACGGACAGUGCCCCCACCCCGGCAGCCAGUAGCCGAUUUGUGAAAAACUGUAGUGUGCCCCCUUAAGGUGUAGACGUUGUGUUAGCUGUGAGGACGGACAGUGCCCCCACCCCGGCAGCCAGUAGCCGAUUUGUGAAAAACUGUAGUGUGCCCCCUUAAGGUGUAGACGUUGUGUUAGCUGUGAGGACGGACAGUGCCCCCACCCCGGCAGCCAGUAGCCGAUUUGUGAAAAACUGUAGUGUGCCCCCUUAAGGUGUAGACGUUGUGUUAGCUGUGAGGACGGACAGUGCCCCCACCCCGGCAGCCAGUAGCCGAUUUGUGAAAAACUGUAGUGUGCCCCCAAAGCACAUGCGGCAGUUGGAUAGCCUCGGCCAACUUCGUAGAUAUACGUUGUUAAAUAUAUAAAUCCGAAGUAUUCCGAUUCACCCGACAACAGCAAUCUCCAAUCUCUUGCACGACGGUUACAUUACAUUCACCUCUGUGUUGGGCUCAGAACGGACUAUUGUUAUGAAAGCGUCUCAUUUAUGUCAUGAUCAUUCCAAGCGUUCAUCAUUGAGGUUACAUAAUACUAAACAAUCUCUUGCACGACAGUUACAUUGCAUUCACUGCAUUAAAGAAAACCAUUUCAUACCAUGAUAUCUU